RNAcentral lists this ribosomal RNA (698 nucleotides) under uncultured bacterium. Its description in RNAcentral is "bacterial SSU rRNA". It matches the Rfam family "Bacterial small subunit ribosomal RNA", at positions 59 to 760 of the family's 1533-position model. The record is from RNAcentral.
CAGUCGAGCGAACACUUUUGAUGAUCCUUCGGGUGAAUCAUUUGUGACUGAGCGGCGGACGGGUGAGUAACGCGUGAGUAACCUGCCUCAUACAGGGGAAUAACAGUUAGAAAUGACUGCUAAUGCCGCAUAAGCGCACAGGACCACAUGGUCUGGUGUGAAAAACUCCGGUGGUAUGAGAUGGACUCGCGUCUGAUUAGCUAGUUGGUGAGGUAACGGCCCACCAAGGCGACGAUCAGUAGCCGGCCUGAGAGGGUGAACGGCCACAUUGGGACUGAGACACGGCCCAAACUCCUACGGGAGGCAGCAGUGGGGAAUAUUGCACAAUGGGGGAAACCCUGAUGCAGCGACGCCGCGUGAGUGAAGAAGUAUUUCGGUAUGUAAAGCUCUAUCAGCAGGGAAGAAAAUGACGGUACCUGACUAAGAAGCCCCGGCUAACUACGUGCCAGCAGCCGCGGUAAUACGUAGGGGGCAAGCGUUAUCCGGAUUUACUGGGUGUAAAGGGAGCGUAGACGGCUUUGCAAGUCUGACGUGAAAAUCCGGGGCUCAACCCCGGAACUGCGUUGGAAACUGUGAGGCUUGAGUGCCGGAGAGGUAAGCGGAAUUCCUAGUGUAGCGGUGAAAUGCGUAGAUAUUAGGAGGAACACCAGUGGCGAAGGCGGCUUACUGGACGGCAACUGACGUUGAGGCUCGAAAGC